AAUGGACGAAAGUCUGACGGAGCAACGCCGCGUGAGUGAUGAAGGCUUUCGGGUCGUAAAACUCUGUUGUUAGGGAAGAACAAGUGCUAGUUGAAUAAGCUGGCACCUUGACGGUACCUAACCAGAAAGCCACGGCUAACUACGUGCCAGCAGCCGCGGUAAUACGUAGGUGGCAAGCGUUAUCCGGAAUUAUUGGGCGUAAAGCGCGCGCAGGUGGUUUCUUAAGUCUGAUGUGAAAGCCCACGGCUCAACCGUGGAGGGUCAUUGGAAACUGGGAGACUUGAGUGCAGAAGAGGAAAGUGGAAUUCCAUGUGUAGCGGUGAAAUGCGUAGAGAUAUGGAGGAACACCAGUGGCGAAGGCGACUUUCUGGUCUGUAACUGACACUGAGGCGCGAAAGCGUGGGGAGCAAA
Molecule: ribosomal RNA, 411 nt
Filed under: uncultured bacterium
Lineage: Bacteria
Description: bacterial SSU rRNA
Rfam family: Bacterial small subunit ribosomal RNA
Source: RNAcentral